RNAcentral lists this ribosomal RNA (1106 nucleotides) under Vibrio sp. R96. RNAcentral describes it as "bacterial SSU rRNA". It matches the Rfam family "Bacterial small subunit ribosomal RNA", at positions 55 to 1165 of the family's 1533-position model. The record is from RNAcentral. Lineage: Bacteria; Pseudomonadati; Pseudomonadota; Gammaproteobacteria; Vibrionales; Vibrionaceae.
AUGCAAGUCGAGCGGAACGACUUAACUGAACCUUCGGGGAACGUUAAGGGCGUCGAGCGGCGGACGGGUGAGUAAUGCCUGGGAAAUUGCCCUGAUGUGGGGGAUAACCAUUGGAAACGAUGGCUAAUACCGCAUAAUAGCUUCGGCUCAAAGAGGGGGACCUUCGGGCCUCUCGCGUCAGGAUAUGCCCAGGUGGGAUUAGCUAGUUGGUGAGGUAAGGGCUCACCAAGGCGACGAUCCCUAGCUGGUCUGAGAGGAUGAUCAGCCACACUGGAACUGAGACACGGUCCAGACUCCUACGGGAGGCAGCAGUGGGGAAUAUUGCACAAUGGGCGCAAGCCUGAUGCAGCCAUGCCGCGUGUAUGAAGAAGGCCUUCGGGUUGUAAAGUACUUUCAGCAGUGAGGAAGGGGUGUACGUUAAUAGCGUGCAUCUUUGACGUUAGCUGCAGAAGAAGCACCGGCUAACUCCGUGCCAGCAGCCGCGGUAAUACGGAGGGUGCGAGCGUUAAUCGGAAUUACUGGGCGUAAAGCGCAUGCAGGUGGUGAGUUAAGUCAGAUGUGAAAGCCCGGGGCUCAACCUCGGAAUUGCAUUUGAAACUGGCUCACUAGAGUACUGUAGAGGGGGGUAGAAUUUCAGGUGUAGCGGUGAAAUGCGUAGAGAUCUGAAGGAAUACCAGUGGCGAAGGCGGCCCCCUGGACAGAUACUGACACUCAGAUGCGAAAGCGUGGGGAGCAAACAGGAUUAGAUACCCUGGUAGUCCACGCCGUAAACGAUGUCUACUUGGAGGUUGUGGCCUUGAGCCGUGGCUUUCGGAGCUAACGCGUUAAGUAGACCGCCUGGGGAGUACGGUCGCAAGAUUAAAACUCAAAUGAAUUUGACGGGGGCCCGCCACAAGCGGUGGAGCAUGUGGUUUAUUCGAUGCAACGCGAGACCUUACUACUCUUGACAUCCAGGAGACCUUUCCAGAGAUGAAUGGUGCUCGGAACUCUGAAAAGUGCUGCAUGCCUGUCGUCAGCUCGUGUUGUGAAAUGUAGGGUUAAGUAGCACGAGGCAACCCUCUCUGUUGCAGCGAGUAGUGUCGACCAGGGACUGCCGGUAUUAACCG